RNAcentral lists this ribosomal RNA (385 nucleotides) under uncultured bacterium. RNAcentral's name for it is "bacterial SSU rRNA". It matches the Rfam family "Bacterial small subunit ribosomal RNA", at positions 29 to 416 of the family's 1533-position model. The record is from RNAcentral.
AUUGAACGCUGGCGGCAUGCCUUACACAUGCAAGUCGAACGGCAGCACGGGGGCAACCCUGGUGGCGAGUGGCGGACGGGUGAGUAAUGCAUCGGAACGUGCCCUGAAGUGGGGGAUAACGCAGCGAAAGCUACGCUAAUACCGCAUAUUCUGUGAGCAGGAAAGCAGGGGAUCGCAAGACCUUGCGCUUUGGGAGCGGCCGAUGUCGGAUUAGCUAGUUGGUGGGGUAAAGGCCUACCAAGGCGACGAUCCGUAGCGGGUCUGAGAGGAUGAUCCGCCACACUGGGACUGAGACACGGCCCAGACUCCUACGGGAGGCAGCAGUGGGGAAUUUUGGACAAUGGCGAAAGCCUGAUCCAGCCAUGCCGCGUGAGUGAAGAAGGCC